Neopelma chrysocephalum (saffron-crested tyrant-manakin) is the source of this 860-nucleotide long non-coding RNA. RefSeq lists it as uncharacterized. Lineage: Eukaryota; Metazoa; Chordata; Aves; Passeriformes; Pipridae. The transcript has 5 exons. The record is from RefSeq and is a predicted model, not a curated record.
CAAGAGCGCGUGUGUGUGUGUGCACAGCCAUGCACGGGGAUUUGAGAGCGUGCCCUGAAAUGUGGGAACAUGAAGGGAGCUUUCUUUCAUUCACUCCUUCACUCCCAGGCAGGAAGUCAGGCUUUUAGAUUGUUGUGUAUUUCUGCAAUAACUCAGUAGUAGUAAUGGGCUAAAUCAAUCUAAUACCUCUGUGUUUUUUACAGCACCCAAUAAAUAUUUCCACCUAACUCUCUUCUGAUUUCAUUCUUUUUUUUUCUGAAAGCUGCAGAACAUGAGAAGGAAGAACUCAUAUUUUCAGUGACCUCUAAGAAUCUCUAAUAUUUUGGGAAGGUUCUGCUUGAAACAAUGAUUGAUAUUAGAGAUAAUGCAUGUUUGAUUUGCCCUAGGAGCAGGAAAUCCUUUUUAAAGCCCAGUUCCUCGAGGAUAUCUGGCUUAAAGUGCAUGAAUCGCUGCUUCUGAGAAAAUGCACUGUGUGCAGAAUCCUUUGUCAUGGGAGAAACACAGGAAGCACAAUACUGCAACAUCUGCAACUGCUCUGCCCUGCUGGGAUUGAACUCUAAUUUUCUACGUAAUAAUGGAGAUGAAUAUCCCUUAAAGAUGCAAAUGUAGGACAGGUCUUCACAGAAAACAGUUUUCAAGUACAAUGAUGGGAUACAGAUCAGAACUUGGAGCUUAAACAAGAUCUCACAGCCUCUACAACAAAACUCUGCAUCUGAAAGUGAAGAGGGAAUUAAUUCUGUAUGAAACUGCUGCAUGGUCCUUAAAGGAUGUUCUCUGUUUUACAGAUUGAUUCUGCUGCCGGGGAACUCAAAGAAAAAAAAAUCCAGUGCCUGGUAAAGUUAUGGAGAAGAUUAUUCUGG